GAUGAACGCUGGCGGCGUGCCUAACACAUGCAAGUCGAGCGAAGCACUUUGCUUGGAUUCUUCGGAUGAAGAGGAUUGUGACUGAGCGGCGACGGGUGAGUACGCGUGGUAACCUGCCUCAUACAGGGGGAUAACAGUUAGAAAUGACUGCUAAUACCGCAUAAGACCACAGCACCGCAUGGUGCAGGGGUAAAAACUCCGGCGGUAUGAGAUGGACCCGCGUCUGAUUAGCUAGUUGGGGGUGUAAUGGACCACCAAGGCGACGAUCAGUAGCUGGUUUGAGAGGAUGAUCAGCCACAAUGGGACUGAGACACGGCCCAU
RNAcentral lists this ribosomal RNA (321 nucleotides) under uncultured bacterium. RNAcentral describes it as "bacterial SSU rRNA". It matches the Rfam family "Bacterial small subunit ribosomal RNA", at positions 28 to 334 of the family's 1533-position model. The record is from RNAcentral.